This 2288-nucleotide long non-coding RNA is filed under the name Marmota monax (woodchuck). The record is from RNAcentral. Lineage: Eukaryota; Metazoa; Chordata; Mammalia; Rodentia; Sciuridae.
CACUGUGAAAAUAUAACCAAUGCUUGGUUCUGUUUGUGACACAGUGGUGACAGCUUCGUCAUUGGGACAAAACUGAGAAUUUGUAGAAGCUGCAGGACAACAGCUUGUGAGUUUCCAGGAGUGUGAGCCUUGUUAGUAAGAAGCUGAAAUGCACCAGGAGAAAAGCGUCUUCAAAUCUUUGGAUUCCUUCGCAUUAUCAAAAUCGACAUGAAGAAAAUCUAGAUUUCAGUUUAUUGGAUUUUAAGCUUGCGGGAACAUACUCAAGAUGGCCUGCCUCGGCCAUAGCCUUCAUCCUACAUGUCGAGUCUGUGCAGGGGCCGGUCACACCCGCACUCACACAGACCCUUGCCUGGGUGCAGGACUCAGGUUGGUUAUUCCUUAGAAACAGGCCAGGAACAUUGUUCUACUCAGCUCUGCUUCCACCAGCACCAACACUGGUCCAUAACCCCCUCCGCCAGGAGUUGUCUCUAGUCCCUAUUAUGAGUACCUGUGGCAUUUGGCUUUGGUGGCCACCUUUUUAUUGGCAGUUGACUCCUGCCUCACUUCAUGGCUACCCCUCCCUCAGAGCAAAGCUCACCCACCUUUGAUGGGAGUCUAAGGAUGUUCAUGACCAACCCCUUACCCACCCACCACUUCCCUCCCCUGAGGCCCGGCCCGGAAUCUCACCACUGCAGACCACGCCUCUGCCCACCCAUUCAGCUUAGCCAGUGACAUUUCCUCUAUACAGUGUCCAACUCUUCAAGGAGGUGGCCAGGAGAGAAGAUCGGGCCCCAAGGAAAGGAGGUCAUGGCCAGUGUUGAUUCUUUAAAACCAGUUUCCCAUCAGCUCUGUGGGAGUUUCCCAGGGGCUCCAUUGGCCCUAAAUCGACGCACAUUCACACCCUUUCCCUGGGCCUGUCUGAUGGCCCAGCCCAGCCAGCCCCAGCAAAUUCUUUGCAUGCUUAUGGUUGAACCUCACGUUCUGUGCUUGGCAAGUGUCGUCUGGUACUGUUAGCUCUGCGUGUGUUUCUGCUUUACAGUUGACUCCAGGGAAAUCUCCAUGUUGAGUGCCAGGCAACCCUUAACCCAGGCAAAGCCUCAACAUACCCCUCAGGACAAUCCCGUAAGGCAGAGAAUGGUAGCUCCACCAUGUGGUGACGAAACCAAAGCUCAGGGGCUAAUCAAACCUGCCUGGUCACUCAGCCAGUGAGCAGCAGAGCUGGGAGUAUCCAGCCUCUUCCUUUAGAAUCCCAUGGGUUUUUACUUCAAAUCUCACUGCCUGUGGCCUUCUGGGGACAAGGACUAUGUCUGCCAUUCUAAACCUCCCAGGGCCAGUUCCAUUCAUCCUGCCCAUGAGCCCUGCUACUAUCAUCAAGGAACAGUUAUGAACAUGUUCACAGGUUACUGGCUGUGUGUGUUGGCGCCAGUCAUCUAGUAUCUCUAAGCCUCUGUUUACUCCUCUGAAGACUGAAUGAUAAAUAAUACCCAUCAUAAGAUUGUUGCUAAAUUAUAACAUGUUGAGCACUUGGCACAGUACCCAGCACAUAGUAACUUCUCAAGAAACUUUAGUGACCUUUAUGAAGAGCAAUUAGUUACUUAGACUUGAAAAACUCCAUAAACUCUCUGAGUCUCAGUGUUUUCAACAGAUAGAUUGAGAAUGAAUACCUGUUCUGGCCAUGUUAUGGGGCAUCGAGGCAAAUGAUGUAAGACGGAGUGUUCAGAUGCAGGCAAGUGCUUUAUUACUAGAAGCUAUUGGACACUGGAGCGGAGUUCUGGUGCUUGGAUAAGGUCUAAUACUAUAUUUUAAAUAACUUAGAAUUUGAGUUUUUCAUUCUUAGCUUUCCCAUCUGCCAUCUUUGCAUAGUACCUGAGCAUUCAAACAAGCCUACAUCCUCUUUACAUUCUCAAUAACAGCACCCUCUUCACCCUGCAAUGGUCUAAAGAUUGAGAUCCCUGAAGAUAUGCCAACUAACAGCACUGAGAACUGAGAGGAUCACACAGCAGCUAUGUGCAGGGUUCAGCAUCAAACUGUCUGGGCUGAAGUUCCAGCUCUACCAAUAAGCAGCUGCAUACCUAAUGACAACUUGUUUAAUUUCCCCAACCCUAAUUUCCAUUUCUAUAAAAGGAAUAAAUAAUAAUACCUACCUCAAAAGAUUAUUAUGGAAUUCCCAUAGAAUAAGACCUGGCAUGAUACAAAAUGAGUCCUCAGACAUUAGCUUUUAUUAAUGAAGUGGCUGCCAAGUAAUAAGAACCUACUAUUUACCCGGCCCUGAGCAAGCGUACUAUGUGAUUUCUUUCUUGAUUCCUUAC